Molecule: transfer RNA, 29 nt
Filed under: Capsicum annuum
Lineage: Eukaryota; Viridiplantae; Streptophyta; Magnoliopsida; Solanales; Solanaceae
Also listed under: 5 other names
Description: partial tRNA-Leu
Source: RNAcentral
AAAAUCCGUCGACUUUUAAAAUCGUGAGG